This 253-nucleotide ribosomal RNA is filed under the name uncultured bacterium. RNAcentral describes it as "partial 16S ribosomal RNA". It matches the Rfam family "Bacterial small subunit ribosomal RNA", at positions 524 to 776 of the family's 1533-position model. The record is from RNAcentral.
UACGUAGGGUGCGAGCGUUGUCCGGAAUUAUUGGGCGUAAAGGGCUCGUAGGCGGUUUGUCGCGUCGGGAGUGAAAACACACAGCUUAACUGUGUGCUUGCUUCCGAUACGGGCAGACUAGAGGUAUGCAGGGGAGAACGGAAUUCCUGGUGUAGCGGUGAAAUGCGCAGAUAUCCGGAGGAACACCAGUGGCGAAAGCGGCCACCUGGACUGUACCUGACGCUCAAACGCGAAAGCUAGGGGAGCGAACGGG